UACGGAGGGUGCAAGCGUUAUCCGGAUUUACUGGGUUUAAAGGGUGUGUAGGCGGACUUUUAAGUCCGUGGUGAAAUCUCCGGGCUCAACCCGGAAACUGCCAUGGAUACUAUUGGUCUUGAAUGUUGUUGAGGUGGGCGGAACGGGUCAUGUAGCGGUGAAAUGCAUAGAUAUGACCCGGAACACCGAUUGCGAAGGCAGCCCACUAAGCAAUGAUUGACGCUGAGGCACGAAAGUGUGGGGAUCAAACAGG
This 253-nucleotide ribosomal RNA is filed under the name uncultured bacterium. RNAcentral describes it as "partial 16S ribosomal RNA". It matches the Rfam family "Bacterial small subunit ribosomal RNA", at positions 524 to 776 of the family's 1533-position model. The record is from RNAcentral.